AUUGAACGCUGGCGGCAUGCCUUACACAUGCAAGUCGAACGGCAUCGCGGGAAAGCUUGCUUUCCUGGCGGCGAGUGGCGAACGGGUGAGUAACACAUCGGAACGUACCGGCUAGUGGGGGAUAACCCGUCGAAAGACGGGCUAAUACCGCAUACGCUCUUCGGAGGAAAGCAGGGGACCUUUGGGCCUUGCGCUAGUCGAGCGGCCGAUGUCCGAUUAGCUAGUUGGUGGGGUAAAGGCCUACCAAGGCGACGAUCGGUAGCGGGUCUGAGAGGACGAUCCGCCACACUGGGACUGAGACACGGCCCAGACUCCUACGGGAGGCAGCAGUGGGGAAUCUUGGACAAUGGGGGCAACCCUGAUCCAGCAAUGCCGCGUGGGUGAAGAAGGCCUUCGGGUUGUAAAGCCCUUUCGGCAGGGAAGAAAUCGGCGGGGCGAAGAACCCUGCUGGAUGACGGUACCUGCAGAAGAAGCACCGGCUAACUACGU
Molecule: ribosomal RNA, 489 nt
Filed under: uncultured bacterium
Lineage: Bacteria
Description: partial 16S ribosomal RNA
Rfam family: Bacterial small subunit ribosomal RNA
Source: RNAcentral